RNAcentral lists this ribosomal RNA (128 nucleotides) under Sorex araneus (European shrew). Lineage: Eukaryota; Metazoa; Chordata; Mammalia; Eulipotyphla; Soricidae. The record is from RNAcentral.
GUGGAACACCCUACCGCUGUGCUAUCGCUCCCACACCCGAUCUCGUCUGCUCUCGGAAAGCUAAGCAGGGUUGGGGCCUGGUUAGUACUUAAAUGGGUUCUUAUUGUAUACCAUUUUUGUUUUUUAAA